Molecule: RNA transcript, 2739 nt
Organism: Telopea speciosissima
Lineage: Eukaryota; Viridiplantae; Streptophyta; Magnoliopsida; Proteales; Proteaceae
Gene name: HBS1-like protein
Exons: 13
Source: RefSeq, a predicted model, not a curated record
CUCUCUCUCUCUCUCUCUCUCUCUCUGGCUUAUGUUGUGUUUCUAUUACUUUCUUGGUUUCUCUUGUGACUUCAACCCCUUGAUAUGGGGAUGGAACCCCAUCUGGUGUAUAAUUGGGUCUCUUCUAAUACCCCUUCCUCUGGACAUUCCCCCAAACCCCCGCCCCCAUUUCCAACCCCCACACUAUCAAGCUUCUCCUGCUCCUAUUGACCCAAGUCUCUUUUCCCCCUGUUUUGAACUUAGUUUAUUAACCACAAAUAAUUUUAGGAGCAUGCCUCGUAAAGGAAAUUAUGGAUUUAAUUAUGAUGAAGACUAUGGUGCCUAUGAAGAUUAUUUUGAUGAUUCAGAUAUAGAAAGUGAUGUAGGAGAAGUACUUGAGGAAGAGCAAGAAGUUAUCAAGCCUGGGACCUGGCGAUGCUCUAUUUGCACUUAUGAUAAUGAUGAAAGCAUGCCCUUCUGUGAUAUAUGCGAGGUUUUCAGGGAGCCUGUCAGCAUUUGUAACAGUGGCAAUAAGAGAACAGUUCACAUGUGCAAAGAGUCUGGAGCAUCCGUUAUGGCCAAGUCUCUUUUUGCCUCAUUGUCUCGUCAGACGCAGAAAAUGGCCAUAACCGUUCAGAGACAGAAUGAUGAUUUUGUGAGGAAAGAGAAAAAUAACGUCUGCAGGAUUGAGAAUACCCAAGGAGAUUUUUAUGAUUUUCAUAAUGCUUUUAAGCCUCCACCUUGCAAUUACCCUGUCAAUAUAGGUCUGCCUCCUUUCAAGUUUGAUUGCCCAUCUCCAGAUGAUUUGGUGUCUCAUGGAAAACAAUCUUCCAAGGCGGUCUCAAAAGGAGCUCUCUCAAGCAUCACUGAGAAAAAUAGAUCAGUUACAGCUGUUCCAAGAAGUGGAAGACAAGAGAGUUCAUCAGUCCCAUUGGCAAAUGGUAGACGAAUUCCUGCUAAUGAAAGCAGGUCUACUUUUAGUGAAGAUAACUCACACAGUCUAACCAACAGUUUAAGCAUAACUGUAGAAGUAAACUCUGAAGGCUCGAGGAACGUAAAUAAUAGAAGAGCUGUUUCUCCUUCCCAAUACAAGCCUGAGGCAUGGAUGCUUUCUGAUAAUGAAGAAGGGUCAAAGAAUCAACUAAAUCUUGCUAUUGUUGGCCAUGUUGAUUCUGGAAAAUCAACACUGUCAGGGAAACUGCUACAUCUUGUGGGACGAAUAUCCCAGAAAGAAAUGCACAAAUAUGAGAAAGAGGCUAAGUUGAAGGGAAAAGGAUCUUUUGCUUAUGCUUGGGUGCUGGAUGAAAGUGCUGAAGAAAGGGAAAGGGGUAUAACAAUGACUGUGGCUGUUGCUUAUUUUGACUCCAAGAAAUAUCAUGUUGUUGUGCUUGAUUCACCAGGCCAUAAAGAUUUUGUCCCAAACAUGAUAUCUGGUGCUACACAAGCAGAUGCUGCAAUUCUUGUCAUAGAUGCUUCGACUGGUGCAUUUGAGACAGGUAUGGACAGUAAUGGUGGGCAAACAAGGGAGCAUGCACAACUCAUCAGAAGUUUUGGUGUUGAUCAAAUUAUUGUUGCUGUUAAUAAAAUGGAUGCUGUGGGAUACUCCAAGGAGCGGUUUGAAUUAAUAAAACAGCAACUAGGAAUGUUUCUCCGUUCUUGUGGUUUCAAAGACUCCUCCAUGUUGUGGAUCCCCUUGAGCAACAUAGAAAAUCAGAAUUUAGUGACGGCUGCAUCUGAUGGUCGUUUGUCAUCUUGGUAUCGGGGCCCAUAUCUGUUGGAUGCAAUAGAUUCUCUACAUCCUCCUGUUAGGGAUGUCUCAAAGCCACUGCUUCUGCCCAUAUGUGAUGUCAUUAAAUCACAUUCACUAGGGCAGGUGGCUGUCAGUGGUAAAUUGGAGGCUGGAGCCCUUCGAAGUGGUUCGAAGGUUAUUGUCAUGCCAUCAGGUGAUUUAGCGACUGUGCGCUCUCUAGAACGUGAUUCUCAAUCUUGCACAACAGCAAGAGCUGGAGACAAUGUUGCUGUCAGUCUGCAAGGCAUUGAUGGAGGCAAUGUGAUGGCUGGGGGUGUACUGUGUCACCCAGAUUUCCCUGUGGCAGUCGCAACCCAUUUAGAGCUGAAGGUCCUCACAUUGGAAGCUGCUUUGCCCAUCCUUAUUGGUUCUCAGGUGGAGUUUCAUGUACAUCAUGCAAAAGAGGCUGCAAGAGUUGUAAGGAUAUUGUCAUUGCUUGAUCAGAAGACUGGCAAGGUCACAAAAAGGGCACCCCGUUGUCUUACAGCUAAGCAGAGUGCAGUAAUAGAGGUGGUUUUGGAAGGAGCAGUUUGUAUAAGAGAGUUCUCCGAUUGUCGAGCUCUUGGUAGGGUUUUCCUACGAGGAUCAGGAAGAACUGUUGCUGUAGGUAUUGUUACCCGAAUAAUUGAGUAAUUGGUUGUUGGGUGGAGCACAUGCCGUAGCUCUAUGCAUGACCAUGAAGUCCAGAAAUGAUUUGAGAUGUGGCUUCGCAAGUUUGUUUUAUAACCCUCUUUGCAUCAGAUGUGAAAGAGAAGCAAUGGAGAAUAUUAGGCUGGAAACGAGAGACCAGUCUGGACAUCUUCAAAUCUAUCAAUCAUGCCGAAGAAUGUGGAAGUGCUUUGGGAUUGGUUCCUUGAAAAUUAGGGUACCCCGGUGAGCCUAUGGCUCAUGCAUGACCCAGUUCUAGGAGUUCAGUAUCUAGAAUUUUGGUUGGAUAUAAUGGAAAUAGAUCUCCCCCCCCACCCCCACCC